This 276-nucleotide ribosomal RNA is filed under the name uncultured bacterium. RNAcentral describes it as "partial 16S ribosomal RNA". It matches the Rfam family "Bacterial small subunit ribosomal RNA", at positions 622 to 896 of the family's 1533-position model. The record is from RNAcentral.
UGCAGGAGAAACUGCAGGGCUCGAGUAUGGGAGAGGUGAGUGGAAUUUCCGGUGUAGCGGUGAAAUGCGUAGACAUCGGAAGGAACACCUGUGGCGAAAGCGGCUCACUGGACCACAACUGACGCUGAUGCACGAAAGCUAGGGGAGCAAACAGGAUUAGAUACCCUGGUAGUCCUAGCCCUAAACCAUGAUUGCUUGGUGUGACGGGUACCCAAUCCCGCCGUGCCGUAGCUAACGCGUUAAGCAAUCCGCCUGGGGAGUACGGUCGCAAGGCUG